CCUAGUGAAAAGUUGUGGUUUGGAUCAUUCAUUCAACUGUGGGCAGUUUAUAAAGCUUUCUGCAACCUCAGUUAGACUGAUUGUUAGAGACGAACAUGGACUUUUGCCACCUGCUACCACUGCCUCACCAGGUAACGGGUGCCAGUCCAGCCUCCGGCUAGAUCUGAGGUUUGCUGCCUGCAAGGCUCAAUGAUAUCUCUCUCCCGCUGGCCUGGAUAAAGACAAUGUGUGCGCUGUCAGAACAUGCAGUUUCUCGGAGGAUCCAGACUAAGACCCUGAAGUCAUUCCACCCCUGGAGCCUCGAAAUACCGCAGCAGCAUCUGGGCCCCUUGCACCCUCCUCAUGCAAGGCGAACGGACUUAGAGCAAUGUCCUGUCAUCCCUGACUCACUAAUGAGGAAGGUCUGUUACAUUUCCCAGAAUGGUUCCCAGCGCUGGAGAUAAUUCCUUUUCGGAGAACCUACAUUUCUCACCUGCUGAUUGCAAUUAGCCACUGCCAGCUGGGGCCUGGUGUGCAGCU
This 519-nucleotide long non-coding RNA is filed under the name Chinchilla lanigera (long-tailed chinchilla). RNAcentral's name for it is "lncRNA (ENSCLAG00000024276.1)". The record is from RNAcentral. Lineage: Eukaryota; Metazoa; Chordata; Mammalia; Rodentia; Chinchillidae.